GCCCGGCUAGCUCAAUCGGUAGAGCGUGAGACUCUUAAAACGAGUUCACAUCUCAAGGUUGUGGGUUCGACCCCCACGUCGGGCU
RNAcentral lists this transfer RNA (85 nucleotides) under Plectosphaerella cucumerina. It matches the Rfam family "tRNA". Rfam says of the family: Transfer RNA (tRNA) molecules are approximately 80 nucleotides in length. The record is from Rfam by way of RNAcentral. Lineage: Eukaryota; Fungi; Ascomycota; Sordariomycetes; Glomerellales; Plectosphaerellaceae.